Molecule: long non-coding RNA, 552 nt
Organism: Drosophila innubila
Lineage: Eukaryota; Metazoa; Arthropoda; Insecta; Diptera; Drosophilidae
Exons: 2
Source: RefSeq, a predicted model, not a curated record
AAGUGAUCGGGUCUCUAAGUGGGAUGCUGAAAUUUGCAUUUAGCGUUUCCAUAUCGAUAAGAUGGAUUACUAUGAGGAAGCUCAGAUAAAGAUUUAUUAACAAUGUUUGCAAACAACAAAAAAUUUUAACGAAAUCAAAAGUGUGUAAAUAUACGAAUAAAUAAAUUUGCGUUAAAUUCCGAAAAUCCAAAAACGUGUCAAACAACUAACAGACAGAAAUAUUCAAACAAAGCGAGUGAAGUCAUAGACGAAAAAAUAAAUAUAUUAAAUUGACAUAAGAGGAAUGCUUUGGGACCAGCAAAAUAAUUUAUUGUGCUGUGAAGCGUAUGUCAUAUAGGGUCAUAUACGUAAUCUGGAUCGGGACGUGUGCUCCGAAAGGGAUUAAAUGGGCGGGCGGGUGGCGGUGGCUGCCAGAAGCGUUGCAACCAGCCGGGUGCAUAGCUGCGAUACCAAUUGGUCAUCUUAACGUAUUUAACACACACACACAACACACACUGACGCACAAUACUUAACGGAAAUUGCGCUUUAGCUGACUCUUGUAUUGUAUUCUUC